This 655-nucleotide long non-coding RNA is filed under the name Mus spicilegus (steppe mouse). Its description in RNAcentral is "lncRNA (ENSMSIG00000005817.1)". The record is from RNAcentral. Lineage: Eukaryota; Metazoa; Chordata; Mammalia; Rodentia; Muridae.
UUCAUUACAAAGAAGAACACAGUGGCAAGGGAGCUCCAGGUGCAUUCUGGGGAAGCCGCAGGCUAUAGGAAGCUCCCGGUGCAUUCUGGGAAAAGCCGUAGGCUAUUGGGUUGCCACUCUUCCCAUCAGAUUACUUCUUUCUUCGUUACCAAUUAGCACGGUGGCGGAGGCUCAUGGUCUGGUCCAGGUCUCACAGCUAAUAUGAGGCAAAGGAUGAUUUGGAAAAGGCCGCUUGCCUCUCCUGUAGGCUCUCCCCAGCAGCUUCUGAAGUGAUUCCGUGUGACUCAGACCAUCCCUUGGUCCCUCAGCUCCUGCAAAACACAUCAGAAGGACGCUCAAAGUUGAAGAAAGCUCAAGAGAACCAUCAGGCACUGAAGACUGAAGUCAUUUUGGAGUAGCAGCUUUGUGACCAGCACUGUGUUUCCGAGGAGUGUCUAUGCCUUGCAUUUAAUCCUAACAGCAACUCUGCAAGGGACCUUCUCUUAUCUGUGAUGGGGAGAGGAGGUUCAUCAGAAAGAAUAAGGUUCAUCUGUGUGCAUGGUCGCUCACAGAGAACAGAAUCUCCUGCUGCUGACAUCCGGCUGUUCCCUCCCAGGCUCUUCUCAGGGAGCUGCAAGAGAAAAGGAUUGUUUUGGCUUAAGAAGACAAAAGACAC